This 485-nucleotide ribosomal RNA is filed under the name uncultured bacterium. RNAcentral's name for it is "partial 16S ribosomal RNA". It matches the Rfam family "Bacterial small subunit ribosomal RNA", at positions 28 to 507 of the family's 1533-position model. The record is from RNAcentral.
GAUGAACGCUAGCGACAGGCUUAACACAUGCAAGUCGAGGGGCAGCACAGGUAGCACUACCGGGUGGCGACCGGCGCACGGGUGAGUAACGCGUAUGCAACUUACCUAUCAGAGGGGGAUAACCCGGCGAAAGUCGGACUAAUACCGCAUGAAGCAGGGGUCCCGCAUGGGGAUAUUUGCUAAAGAUUCAUCGCUGAUAGAUAGGCAUGCGUUCCAUUAGGCAGUUGGCGGGGUAACGGCCCACCAAACCGACGAUGGAUAGGGGUUCUGAGAGGAAGGUCCCCCACAUUGGUACUGAGACACAGACCAAACUCCUACGGGAGGCAGCAGUGAGGAAUAUUGGUCAAUGGCCGAGAGGCUGAACCAGCCAAGUCGCGUGAGGGAUGAAGGUUCUAUGGAUCGUAAACCUCUUUUAUAAGGGAAUAAAGUGCGGGACGUGUCCCGUUUUGUAUGUACCUUAUGAAUAAGGAUCGGCUAACUCCGUG